UACGUAGGGUGCGAGCGUUUGUCCGGAUUUAUUGGGCGUAAAGAGCUCGUAGGCGGUUUGUCGCGUCGGCCGUGAAAUCUCCACGCUUAACGUGGAGCGUGCGGUCGAUACGGGCAGACUUGAGUUCGGUAGGGGGAGACUGGAAUUCCUGGUGUAGCGGUGAAAUGCGCAGAUAUCAGGAGGAACACCGGUGGCGAAGGCGGGUCUCUGGGCCGAUACUGACGUGAGGAGCGAAAGCGUGGGGAGCGAACAGG
RNAcentral lists this ribosomal RNA (254 nucleotides) under uncultured bacterium. RNAcentral describes it as "partial 16S ribosomal RNA". It matches the Rfam family "Bacterial small subunit ribosomal RNA", at positions 524 to 776 of the family's 1533-position model. The record is from RNAcentral.